This 486-nucleotide ribosomal RNA is filed under the name uncultured bacterium. RNAcentral describes it as "partial 16S ribosomal RNA". It matches the Rfam family "Bacterial small subunit ribosomal RNA", at positions 30 to 507 of the family's 1533-position model. The record is from RNAcentral.
AUUGAACGCUGGCGGCAUGCCUUACACAUGCAAGUCGAACGGCAGCACGGGUGCUUGCACCUGGUGGCGAGUGGCGAACGGGUGAGUAAUACAUCGGAACAUGUCCUGUAGUGGGGGAUAGCCCGGCGAAAGCCGGAUUAAUACCGCAUACGAUCCACGGAUGAAAGCGGGGGCCCUUCGGGCCUCGCGCUAUAGGGUUGGCCGAUGGCUGAUUAGCUAGUUGGUGGGGUAAAGGCCUACCAAGGCGACGAUCAGUAGCUGGUCUGAGAGGACGACCAGCCACACUGGGACUGAGACACGGCCCAGACUCCUACGGGAGGCAGCAGUGGGGAAUUUUGGACAAUGGGCGAAAGCCUGAUCCAGCAAUGCCGCGUGUGUGAAGAAGGCCUUCGGGUUGUAAAGCACUUUUGUCCGGAAAGAAAUCCUUGACUCUAAUACAGUCGGGGGAUGACGGUACCGGAAGAAUAAGCACCGGCCAACUACGUG